GCAAAGCACACAGUAAAGUCAGAGACAAAGCUGAACUUGGGGAAAUGUUGCCAUGGUGAAGGGAAAUUGAAGUUUAAACUGGGGGGAAUAAGGCUGGACACAGUUUCUGCAGACCGGCCGGAUGUCGAUGAUCCCAACCAGCCCUCGGUCCUGAGCGUCACCUGGUCCUGAGCGUCGCCUGGUCCUGAACAUCACCUGGUCCUGAGCGUCACCUGGUCCUGAGCAUCGCCUGGUCCUGAGCGUCCCCCAGGCUGGUGUCGGAGGUGUGAAGAUGAGCCAGCUCUGAUUUCUCCCGAUAUCCGCUCGCCAGACGCCUCCCAGUCCCGCCCGCCCCGUGCCCCGUGCCGACAACAAACGUGUGUCCCGGUGACGGAACCUCGGGCUGUGCUGUCACUCCUGCGAGACAGAGGGAAGAGCCACGUAACUCUGCGCCACAACAACUUGUAUUUGAAUGAAACAGAUAAGAUAAUGGCUGCAAUAACCUGACACAGUAGAUGCUCUGGCCAUGGAUGCGAAGGCAGCACAGCCGGAUCGCACAAACUCACCAACGCCUGGACAGUGUCUCACCAUAUUCCACUGCCCCCGAGGAGCUUUCAGGGAAACCUUAAGUAAGUAUUUCAAAUGUUCCCUCAAGGAAUAUUAAUUAUGCUUCCUUGAGGUAAAGCAGCGUUGGCAAUAAGUUUGUUUAAUUAGCGUUUCAUCGCACUGCGUUGUCGGGGACGCAGACCCUCCACGGAAACACGGGGCUGUGCAGCUGCUACCAGGACAUCACACCAUGGCUUCAGAAAAAGAUUUUCAAAAGGUUCUUGUGUUUAAAUGAACCAAAC
RNAcentral lists this long non-coding RNA (827 nucleotides) under Columba livia (rock pigeon). RNAcentral's name for it is "partial uncharacterized LOC102098492, transcript variant X2". The record is from RNAcentral. Lineage: Eukaryota; Metazoa; Chordata; Aves; Columbiformes; Columbidae.